Molecule: ribosomal RNA, 261 nt
Filed under: uncultured bacterium
Lineage: Bacteria
Description: partial small subunit ribosomal RNA
Rfam family: Bacterial small subunit ribosomal RNA
Source: RNAcentral
AGAACGAACGCUGGCGGCGUGCUUAACACAUGCAAGUCGAGUGCGCGUCUGUAGCAAUACAGAUGGCGCACGGCGCACGGGUGCGUAACACGUGGGUAAUCUGCCCUCUGAUGGGGAAUAACUCGCCGAAAGGCGAGCUAAUUCCGCAUAAUAUUCCGAGAACUUAGGUUUUUGGACUGAAAGGCGUAAGUCGUCGGAGGAGGAGCCCGCGCACGAUUAGCUAGUUGGUAGGGUAACGGCCUACCAAGGCUUUGAUCGUUA